UGAGCCGGUACCAAAAUCUGCAUAGAAAGUGUAUAGUGUAGCAUCAGAACAACUGACCCCAUGUACUGAUAAGGGCUAAGCCUAACCUCGGCGAAGUAGUGACGAGGCUAGGACAAGACACCCACAUAUAACCUGAACAGUAUAAUUAUGCUAGUGGCAACUACAGUAAAUAAAAAAAUAAUGCAGACAUAAUGGAAAGGGACAUACAGUGGGGGAAUACAAUAUAAAGAGUGAGAAUAAUGAAAAGACAGAAUUAAACCAAAAAUCCUUAAACAAAUUGAGCAAAUAAAACAGCAAAGGAAAAACUGCACAGCAUCACCCUUCGUACUUUUACUCUCAACCUUACCAAAUAAAUAAAUAGAACGGCACGGCAUCACCCUUCAUGCUUUUACUCUCAAUCUCGCCAAAUAAAUAAAUAGAACGGCACAGCAUCACCCUUAGUGCAUUAAACCUUUCAUAAUAUACACGGCAUCACCCUUCGUGCUUUACACUCUUCAUCACAAUAUAAAUAAUGCAUGCACGGCAUCACCCUUCGUGCUUUACACUCUUCCUCACAAUUUAAAUAAUUUAUGCAUGGCAUCACCCUUCGUGCUUUACACUCCUCCUCACAAAUCACAGAAUCAAUAACAACGGAUAGAUAGGAGUAUCACAAAGAAACCAGUAUUUUACCCAUAAUCAAUAGCACAAUGAAACCUCAACCUUGAAUCUAUAUUCGAAAGUUACCAAAUCUCAGUGAAACCAGAUAUAAGUCACCCAACAUUUCAAAUAACCCGCUAAGCAUGGAUAGUAGAAUUUAAGGCUACAAAAUAGACAAGAAUAGAAUCACUCACAUGCUAUGACUUGACAACGAUGUAUAGAUGCUUGUCACAUCACCUAUACAUCGUAUUUAACAACCAAACACGUAGCAAAUAAACACAUAAUACCUAUUCCCUCAAGCCAAAGUUAGACACUACACUUACCUCGCUCCGAAGGCCACUUAAUUCUCAAUCACAGCUUUUUCUUUGGAAUUCACCUCGAAACCACUCGCAUCUAUUCAAAAAUGACUCAAUAAUUUCAAAUAUUGCUAACGAAAUCAAUUAUAUUGAAUAAAUUAAAUUUUUCAAAUUUUCCUCCAAAAAGUCGUAAAAAUCGAUCUCGGGCCCGCUUGGUCAAAACCCAAGGUUCGGACCAAAUUUUAUUUAUCCAUUCACCCCCGAACCCGAAUAUAUAAUUGGUUUUGGAAUUUGACCUAAAAUUGAGGUCUAAAUCCCCAAAUUUUCGAAAUUUCUAGUUUUCACCCUAACCCUUAAUUCUACCAUGAAAACUCUAGAUUUUAGGUUGGUAAUUCACAAAAUGUAAUGGGUAAUUGAAAGAAAAUGGUUUAGAAUCACUUACCAAUACUUUGUGAAAGAAAAUGACUCUUGAAAAUUGCCUCUACCCGUUUGGUUCUUAAAAAAUGUUGAAGAAAUGGCUUAAACUCGUGUUUGAUUCUGUUUUAUGCACUGGGCGACAGUGUGCAUCGCGUUCGCGAGACCACUGUCGCGUUCGUGAAGGGUACUGGCUGCCAAGCCUUCGCGUUCGCGAGACCCUUCUCACGUUCGCGAUGGUUACUCCCCCCUGGCCUUCGCGUUCGCAAGCCAUUGCUCGUGUUCGUGAUGAAGGAACGACCAACCCUCCCCUAGGUCCUCAAGUGCUCCGCGUUCGCGAUGAGCCGGUCACGUUCACGAAGGGUAAAUCCCCCAUCACUUCGCGUUCGUGACCAGGCUUUCGCGUUCGCGAAGAAGAAGUCCCAGCCUCACCAGUUUACACUUCGCGUUCGCGAGAGGACCAACACGAAGAAGGAUAUGCCAGACACCAGAAUCUGUAGAAAACAAGAGUUUUCCCAAGUCCAAAACAUGUCGUGGCCUAUCCGAAACUCACCCGAGCCCUCUGGGAUCCAAACCAAACAUGCACAAAAUUCUAAAACCUCAUACGGACCUGCUCGCGCGAUCAAAUCGCCAAAAUAACACCUAGAACUCCGAAUUUAGCACCAAAUCAAAUAAAAUUCUCAAGAACACUUUAAAAUUUCUAUCUUCUCAGCUGGACGUCCGAAUCACGUCAAGUCAACUUCGUUUGUCACCAAAUUUCACAGACGAGUCUUAAAUAUCAUAAUGAACCUAUACCGGAUUCCGAAACCAGAAUACAAAUCCGGCACUAACAAUGCCAAACAUCAAUCAAUUCUUAAAAAUAAUUAAUUUUCAGACUUUUAAUUUUCAUCAAAAAUUCAUAACUUGAGCUAGGGAUCUCCGAAUUCGAUUUCGGGCAUACGCCCAGGUCCCAUAAUUCGAUACGGACCCACCGGGACCGUCAAAAUAAUGAUUCGGGCCCAUUUACCAAAAAUGUUGACAGGAGUCAACUAAAAUUAAUUUUUUAAGGCAUAAAUUCUUAUUUUCAUCAAUUUUUAACAUAAAAGAUUUUCUGGAAAACUGCCGGACUGUACACGCAAAUCGAGGAGGGUAAAAAUGAGAUCUUUAAGGCUUAAGAGCGAAGAUUCAAGUUCUAAAACAUAAGAUGACCCUUUGGGUCAUCACAUUCUCCACCUCUAAAACAAUCGUUCGUCCUCGAACGGACAUAGAAAAGUACCUGGGCUGGUGAAAAGGUGGGGAUAUCUACUCCGCAUAUCAGACUCGGACUCCCAAGUAGCUGCCUUAAUAGGCUGACCUCUCCAGUGCACUCGAACUGAAGGGUAACUCUUUGAUCUCAACUGGCAAAUUUGCCGGGCUAAAAUAGCCACUGGCUCCUCCUCGUAAGUCAAAUCCUUAUCCAACUGGGCAGAGUUGAAAUCUAUCACAUGGGACGGAUCACCGUGAUACUUUCGAAGCAUGGACACAUGGAAUACCAGAUGAACAACUGCUAAACUAGGUGGCAAUGCAAGCUUGUAAGCCACCUCUCUCACUCUCUCCAGAAUCUCAAAAGGCCCGAUAUACCUAGGGCUUAACUUGCCCUUCUUUCCGAACCUCAUUACACCCUUCAUGGGUGAUACCCGAAGUAACACUCUCUCUCCGACCAUGAAUGCAACAUCACGAACUCUACAGUCGGCAUAAAUCUUCUGAUUUGACCGAUCUGUUCGAAGUCGAUCAUGAAUAAUCUUGACCUUAUCUAAGGCAUCCUGUACUAAGUCUAUGCCCAACAACCGAGCCUUUCCCAGCUCAAACCAUCCAACUGGCGACCGGAACCGCCUAACAUAUAAUGUCUCAAAGGGAGCCAUCUGAAUGCUCGAUUGGUAAUUGUUGUUGUAGGCAAACUCUUCAAGGGGAAAGAACUAAUCCCAAGAACCUCCAAAGUCUAUGACACAAGCGCGGAGCAUAUCCUCCAAGAUCUGAAUAGUACGCUCGGACUGCCCGUCCGUCUGAGGAUGGAAUGAUGUGCUCAACUCAACCCACAUAACUAACUCACGUUGUACUGCCCUCCAAAAGUGCGAGGAAAACUGUGUACCUCGAUCAGAAAUGAUAGACACGGGCACACCGUGAAGACGGACGAUCUCCCGAAUAUAAAUCUCUGCUAACCGCUCCGAGGAAUAGGUAACUGCCACAUGAAUAAAGUGCGCUGACUUAGUCAGCCUAUUCAUAAUAACCCACACGGCGUCGAACUUCCUCUGAGUCUGUGGGAGUCCAACAACAAAGUCCAUAGUGAUAUGCUCCUACUUCCACUCAGGAAUCUCCAUCUGCUGAAGCAUUCCACUCAGGAAUCUCCAUUUGCUGAAGCAAACCACCGGGUCUCUGAUGCUCAUAUUUCACUUGCUGACAAUUCAAGCACCGAUCCACAUAAGCAACUAUAUCUUUCUUCAUCCUCCUCCACCAAUAAUGCUGCCGUAGGUCCUGAUACAUCUUGGCAGCGCCCGGGUGAAUAGAAUAAUGAGAACUGUGAGCCUCCUCAAGGAUCAACUCACAAAGCCCAUCCACAUUAGGCACACAAAUACGACCCUACAUCCUUAAAACUCAGUCAUCUCAAAUAGUAACCUGCUUGGAACCACCGUGCUGCACUGUGUCUCUAAGGACAAGUUAAUGAAGAUCGCCAUCCUGCCGAUCUCUGAUGCGCUCAAACAAAGAAGACCAAGCAACUGUACAAGCUAGGACACGACUGGGCUCAGAAACAUCUAACCUCACGAACUGGUUGGCCAGGGCUUGAACAUCCAAUGUAAGCAGUCUCUCACUAACUGGAAUAUAUGGAAGGCUACCCAUACUGACUGACUUUCUACUCAAAGCAUCGGCCACCACAAUGGCCUUCCCNNNNNNNNNNNNNNNNNNNNNNNNNGUAAAGAUAGUGUCUCCAAAUAUUCAACGCGUGAACAAUGGCUGCCAGCUCUAGAUCAUGAACAGGGUAAUUCUUCUCGUGAACCUUCAGCUGCCGCGAAGCAUAUGCAAUAACCUUGCCACCCUGCAACAAUACCGCACCCAGACUAAUACGGGAUGCAUCACAAUAUACUGUAUAAUAUUCUGAACCAGUGGGUAACACCAAUACAGGUGUCAUAGUCAAAGCAGUCUUGAGCUUCUGAAAGCUCGCUUCACACUCGUCUGACCACCUGAACGGGGCACCCUUCUAGGUCAAUCUGAUCAACAGGGCUGCUAUGGAUGAAAACCCCUCCACAAAUCGACGGUAAUAGCCCGCCAAACCCAUGAAAUUACGGAUCUCUAUAGCUGAUGUGGGUCUAGGCCAGUUCUGAACUACCUCAAUUUUCUUAGUAUCUACCUGAAUACCCUCUGCUGAUACAACGUGACCCAAGAAAGCAACUGAACUCAACCAAAACUCGCAUUUUGAGAACUUAGCAUAUAACCGGUUGUCUUUUAGAAUCUGAAAAAUGAUCCGAAGGUGCUGCUCAUGCUCCUCUCGACUGUGGGAAUAGAUCAAGAUAUCAUCAAUAAACACAACCACAAAGUAAUCUAAGUAGGGUUUGAACACCCGGUUCAUCAAAUCCAUGAAUGCUGCUAGGGCAUUUGUCAGCCCAAAUGACAUCACUAGAAACUCAUAAUGCCCAUACCGAGUCCGAAAGGCUGUCUUAGGAACAUUGGAUGCCCUAAUCCUCAAUUGAUGGUAGAUAGAUCUCAAAUCAAUCUUUGAAAACACCUUGGCACCCUGAAGCUUAUCAAAUAAAUCAUCAAUCCUCGGCAAUGGAUACUUGUUCUUGAUGGUGACUUUGUUCAACUGUCGAUAAUCUAUACACAUCCUCAUCGAUUCAUCUUUCUUCUUCACAAACAACACAGGUGCACCCCCAGGGCGAGACACUAGUUCUAAUGAAGCCCUUAUCAAGAAAAUCUUGCAACUGCUCCUUCAAUUCUUUCAACUGUGGCGGGGCCAUGCGGUAUGGCAGAAUGGAAAUAGGCUGAGUGCCCGGAGUCAAAUCAAUGCAAAAAUCAAUAUCGUUGUCGGGUGGCAUCCCCGGCAGGUCUGCAGGAAUCACCUUUGGAAACUCACGAACAACCGGUACUGAAUCCAUGGAAAGAACCUCCACACUAGAAUCGCGGACAUAAACCAAAUAUGCUAGACACCCCUUCUCGACCAUAUGCCGAGCCUUCACAUAAGAGAUAACCCUGCUAGCAGAAUGGCCAAGAUUCCCUCUCCACUCUAAUCGAGGCAACCCCUGCAAGGCUAAGGUCAUCGUCUUGGAGUGACAAAAUAAUAUUGCAUGAUAAGGUGACAGCUAAUCAAUACCCAGUAUGACAUCAAAAUCAACCAUGUCAAGAAGUAGAAGAUCUACACGAGUCUCAAGACUCCCAAUGGUGACCACACACGAAUGACAAACACGAUCUAUAACAAUAGAAUCUCCCACUAGUGUGGACACAUACAUAGGAGCACUCAAAGAAUCACGGGGCACAACCACAUAGGAAGCAAAAUAGGAUGACACAUAGGAGUAAGUAGAUCCCGGAUCAAAUAGAACUGAAGCAUCUCUACUGCAAACUGAAACAGUACAUGUGAUAACAGCGUCAGAUGACUCAGCCUCAAGCAUGGCUGGGAAAGCAUAAUACCAGGGUUGGGCCCCACCACCCUGAACUACGUCCCUGGGAUGGCCUCUAACUGGCUGAUCUUCGCCUCUAACGGCCUGACCUCCACCUCUAACUGUCUGGCCUCUACCUCUGGCUGCCUAACCCCUGCUUCUGGCUGGCAGAGCAGGUGGUGUAGCAACUGGUGCCGGAACAAUGGCAUGAGAACUCUGAUGCUGUGAGCUUCCCGUUGCCCGAGGGCAAAAUCUAGCAAUGUGCCUCAGAUCACCACAAGUAUAACAUAACUUCGGUUGUUGUGACUGCUGACCCUGAAGGUGACACUGUCGACCUGAAUAACUACCCUGAUAACUCUGGAGUGGAGGUGCACUAAUAGGAGCUGAUGGUGCACUGUAGGCUAGCUGGUCUAAAUAAUGCAUCUAAGGGCCACGACCACCUGAGGCAGCGUGGGAUGCCUGGAGCGCUAAAUGAAACGGCCUAGGAAGAUGGCCUCUACCAAAAGUACUCCUGCCUCUAAAAGAGGCACCGCUGAACUCACCGGAAUGACGAGGUCUCUUGUCAGACCUCUGACCUCCCUGAGUAAGAACCAUUUCGACCCAUCUCACAACAUUAGCAGCCGCCUGAAAAGAAAAUUCACUCCCAGUCUCCUUAGCCAUCUGUAAUCUGAUAGGCUGAGCAAAUCCAUCAAUAAAUCUCCUCACCCCUUCUCUCUCACUGGGAAGCAGAAGAAUAGCAUGAUGGGCGAAAUCCACAAAACGGGUCUCAUACUGAGUAACAGUCAUACUGCCCUGCUGGAGACACUCAAACUAACGGCGACGCUCCUUUCUCAAUGUGGUAGGAAAAAACUUCUCUAUAAAGAGCUGAGAGAACUGGUCCCAAGUAAGAGCAGGCGACCCAUCCGGUCUGGUCAACAAGUAAUCUCUCCACCAUUUCUUGGCGGAACCAGUUAUCUGAAAUACAGCAAAAUCGACCCAAUUGGUCUCCACUAUACCCAUGUUUCGUAGGACCUCAUGACAGCUGUCAAAAUACUCCUGGGAUCCUCUGAAUGAGCACCACUGAAGUGAAUAGGAAAGAGCUUGAUAAACCUUUCCAAUCUCUAUAAAGCCUCAGAAGACAUAGCUGGCCUAUCUCCGACUUGUGCCGCAAUAACCGGCUAAACUAAUUCGAUUGGCUGAGCUGCUGGAGCCUGAUACUGGGGAGCUAUCUGCUCCGGAGCUGGAGUGGUGGGAGUCUGGGCUCCUCCUCCAGCCUGAGAAACUGUCGGUGCCAUAGAAAAUGUGCCAGUCUGGGCCACACUCUCCAUAAGGCCCACCAAACGGACCAAAGCGUCCUGAAGUACUGGGGUGGCAAUGAACCCCUCCGGAACAUGAGCUGGUCCGGUAGGAACAGUCUAGGCUGUAACCUCCUCGUCAAGCUCUAUCUGAGGCUCCACUAUUGAGGCUGCUGCUCGGGCUCUAGGUUAAGCCCUGCCCCUACCUCAGCCUCUGGCACGGCCUCGACCUCUGCCCCGUGUAGGAGUUGCUACUGGAGGCUCUGGCUGCUACUCAGCUGAGGAAGUGGUGCAUGUUCUCUCCAUCUACGAGAGAAUAAGAGUAUAAGAGUUCAAUCAGUAUUGAGAAAUCAAAAUCGCACGACAGAAAAGAAUAGAAGUGAGACUAGUUCCUAAACUUCAUAGCCUCUGGAAGAUAAGCACAAACGUCUCUGUACCGAUCCCCAGACUCUACUAAGCUUGCUCGUGAAUCGUGAGACCUAGGCAACCUAGGGCUCUGAUACCAACUGUCACAACCCUAAAUUUUCCACCGACGGGGCGUGAUAGCAUCUAACAUUUCACUUUCUAGGCAAGCCAACGUUAGAGAAUCAUUAAACCAAUUCCUUAUUUCAUUCAGUAAAUAACAAUAAUUAACUAAGAUAAAAUAUAAUAUGUAUGGAAUAUUAUAGAACUGUAUUAACUACUACCACUCGGAUCUAGAGUCACAAUUCACGAUCAUUCUAGAAUUUACUACAAGUAAUAGUCUGAAAGAAAUAUAACUGUUUGAAUGAAAGAAAACAGUAGGACAUAAAAGAUAGACGGGGACUUCAAGGUCUAUGAAUGCCGACAGAUCUACCUUGAGUCUCCGGAUAGCGGACCAAUAGCAAAAUCUCGAUCAACCUGAUCCGGUACCAAAAUCUACACAGAAAGUGCAAAGUGCAGCAUCAGUACAACUGACCCCAUGUACUGGUAAGUGCCGAGCCUAACAUCGGCGAAGUAGUAACAAGGAUAGGACAAGACACCCACAUAUAACCUAAACAGUAUAAUUAUACUAGUGGCAACAAUAAUAAAUAAAAAAAAUAAUGCAGAAAUAAUGGAAAGGGACAUACAGUGGGAGAAUACAAUAUAAAGGGUGAGAAUAAUAAAAAAACAGAAUUAAACCGAAAAUCCUUAAAAAAUUGAGCAAAUAAAACAGCAAAGGAAAAACUGUCGGCAUCACCCUUCGUGCUUUUACUCUCAACCUCACCAAACAAAUAAAUAGAAUGGCACGGCAUCACCCUUCGUGCUUUUACUCUCAAUCUCGCCAAAUAAAUAAAUAGAACGGCACGAUAUCACCCUUUGUGCAUUAAACCUCUCAUAAUAUACACGGCAUCACCUUUCGUGCUUUACACUCUUCAUCACAAUAUAAAUAAUGCAUGCACGGCAUCACCCUUCGUGCUUUACACUCUUCCUCACAAUAUAAAUAACGCAUGUACGGCAUCACCCUUCGUGCUUUACACUCCUCCUCACAAAUAACAGAAUCAAUAACAAUGGAUAGAUAGGAGUAUCAUAAAGAAACCAGUAUUUUACCCAUAAUUAAUAGCACAAUGAAACCUCAACCUUGAAUCAAUAUUCAAAAGUUAUCAAAUCUCAGUGAAACCAGAUAUAAGUCACCCAAAAUUUCAAAUAACCCGCUAAGGAUGGGUAGUAGAAUUUAAGGCUACAAAUUAGACAAGAAUAGAAUUUCACUCGCAUGCUAUGACUCGACAACGACGCAUAAAUGCUUGUCACCUCACCUAUACAUUGUAUUUAACAAUUAAACACGUAGCAAAUAAACACAUAAUACAUAUUCCCUCAAGCCAAAGUUAGACACGACACUUACCUCGCUCCGAAGGCCACUUAAUUAUCAAUCUCAGCUUUUCCUUUGGAAUUCACCUCCAAAUAUCUAUUCAAAAAUGACUCAAUAAUUUCAAAUAUUGCUAAAGAAAUCAAUUAUAUUGCAUAAAUUAAAUUUCCCAAAUUUUCCUCCAAAAAGUCAAAAAAAUCGACCCCGGGCCCGUCUGGUUAAAACUCGAGGUUCGGACCAAAAUUCAUUUACCCAUUCACCCCCGAGCCCGAAUGUAUGAUUGGUUUUGGAAUCCGACCUCAAAUUAAGGUUUAAAUCCCCAAAUUUUCGAAAUUUCUAGUUUCCACCCUAACCCCUAAUUCUACCAUGAAAACUCUAGAUUUUAGGUUGAUAAUUCAAGAAAUGUAAUGGGCAAUAGAAAGAAAAUAGUUUAGAAUCACUUACCAACACUUUGGAAAAGCAAAUGUCUCUUGAAAAUCGUCUAUACCCGUUUGGUUCUUGAAAAAUGUUGAAGAAAUGGCUCAAACCCGUGUUUGAUUCUGUUUUAUGCGCUGGGCGACAGUGUGCAUCGCGUUUGCGAGGCCACUGUCGCGUUCACGAAGGGUACUGGCUGCCAAGCCUUCGCGUUCGCGAGACCCUUCUCGCGUUCGUGAUGGUUACUCCCCCUGGCCUUCGCGUUCGCGAGCCAUUGCUCGCGUUCGUGAUGAAGGAACGACCAACCCUCCCCAGGUCCCCAAGUGCUUCGCGUUCGCGAAGGGUAAAUCCCCCAUCACUUUGCGUUCGCGAAGAAGAAGUCUCAACAUUACCAGUUUACUCCUCGCGUUCGCGAGAGGACCUUCACGAACGCGAGGAAGGAUAUGCCAGACACUAAAAUCUGCAGAAAACCAGAUAUUUUCCAAUUUCAAAAUAUCUCGUGGCCUAUCCGAAACUCACCCGAGCCCUCGGGGCUCCAAACCAAACAUGCACACAAGUCUAAAAAUAUCAUACGGACCUGCUCGCGCGAUCAAAUUGCCAAAAUAACACCUAGAACUCCGAAUUUAGCACCAAAUCCAAUGAAAUUCUCAAGAACACUUUAAAAUUUCUAUCUUCUCAACUGGAUGUCCGAAUCACGCCAAAUCAACUCCGUUUCUCACCAAAUUUCACAGACGAGUCUUAAAUAUCAUAAUGAACCUGUACUAGGUUUCGGAACCAGAAUACGGACCCGGCACUAACAAUGCCAAACAUCAAUCAAUUCUUAAAAAUAAUUAAUUUUCAGACUUUUAAUUUUCAUCAACAAUUCAUAACUUGAGCUAGAGACCUCCGAAUUCGAUUUCGGGCAUACGCCCAAGUCCCAUAAUUCGAUAUGGACCCACCUGGACCGUCAAAAUAAGGAUCCGGAUCCAUUUACCAAAAUUGUUGACCGGAGUCAUCUAAAAUCAACUUUUUAAGGCAUAAAUUCUUAUUUUUAACAUAAAAACUUUUCAGAAUUCUGCCCGAAUUACGCACACAAAUCAAGAAAGGUAAAAAUAAGAUUUUUAAGACUUAAGAGUGCAAAUUCAUGUUCUAAAACAUAAUAUGACCCUUUGGGUUAUCAUAACUUUUAUCCUCGAAAAUAUAACUCGGGCAGCAGAGGAGAAGAAAAUCACACAAAACUUCUAAAAAUUAUACGGAAAUCAAAGAAAUCACAAAUUUUUGGCGAAAUCAGAAACCUCCGACGAAGAUGAAAAACUCAACGAAAUCAAACGAGGGUAACAUCACUAGAUAGAGAAUGACGAGAAUCAUCAGAUUCCUCGCUCUGAUACCAUGUUAGCAUACAGAAUUGAAAGAGAAAUUGGCAAAUUACAUUUGGGGCUUGAAGGAACAGGAAAAACUAGAAGAUAUUCCGAGAUAUUUCUUAUUGAAAAGGAAAAACUACAAAAUUGAACAGGAAGAUAUUUCUUAUUCUGUAAUUGAUAAAAAUGCCAAAAGUCUCUAGAAUAUUCCGUCUCUAUCCCUAUAUAUACAUUGGGCCUCUUUUUCCCAAAUCAGAUAACUAAGCUACUCAUAAAUAAACUGGGCUAGGCCCAAUACAAAACAAAUUAACACCAGCAGCCCUUAUUCCUUCAUGUAAUCCAAACACAAAACAAAACAUAAUUUGAAGGAGAAAAAUAAUAAGAGAUUUUCAAAUAUUAAGGAAAAAAAUAUUUGGGUAAAAGAGAUAAUGUUAAAAAAAUCGAUUAUUAUAAACAAAAUGUUGUUAGUUUCUGUUGUGGUUCCAAGUGAAAAACAACGAUAGGACCGGUUUUGUUUUCCUAAAAUAUUUUUAGUUUGAUAUCCAAAAACUAACUCAUUUGAAAUGCAAGUAAUGGAGUCACUUUUUUAAAUAAAAAAAAAACAAAUCCAAAAUUAUUUUUUUCGGUUUGGUUUUUUAUUUUUAGAAAUCACAUUUUGUUUACUUUAUCCAAUUAUAUUUACACAAUUGUUAGCCCAUUAUUUUGUUUAGCAAAUGUUAAUAUUUGAGAACCAGACAACAAUUUUUGGAAUAAACAUGCAGAUCGACCAAAUUAAUAAUCCUGAAACAUUGAUCAACUUAUAUACAUUUCAAAAUUUUAAUUAAGUUGAUUCGCAAAAGAGUUCAUAAAGAGAAGACACAAACUAUCUUUAGGUUGAAAAGUUGAAUUAGAUAAAGGACUUGUCUGUCCUAGAAACUUGAAUUAAAAUUGGAGAUACUUUUAUUUGGAUCAAAAUAAUCAGGUGUCAUGCGGAAGUUAGUAAAGCAAUAUGAACAAUGAUAAAUCAGACAACAAAAGGAAAUAUACCAAAAGAGACACAAACAUUUAACGUGGUUCGGUCAAUUGACCUACGUCCACAACGGAGAUGAGCAAUCCACUAUAUAAAAGAGAGUACAAAAUAUCGAGAGAACAACCUCACGAACAGGCAAAUUCAAGUGACACACUAACACUUGUCCCGUAAAGUUCUCCCCUCUAAACACGACUCUCAAAUCCCAUAUGGCUACAUUGUGGAUGAUGCUGAAUGAGAAGCAAGGAUCCUCUAUUUAUAGAAGUCCAAAUCUUUUCCUAUAAGAAAAAGGACUAGCCAAAAUAUGGGAGAUUCAUAAUUUUUUUUCAAGCAAAGAAAAACUCAAUUAUGGUAAAUAUAUUGUCCUUUCCUUCAACAGAUAGGAAAACCAAAUAUGGUAAGAAAAUCAGGACAAAUGUCUAACAAAUUUAACGUGCCCAAAAUAAAUAUCAAGGGAGUUUUAGCUCUAGUUUGUCAACUCUUACUUGCGUAUGGGUAAAAUUAUAGGCAAUGUCUACCCCGAUUUUCCGAUGAGAAAAUGGAGGGAGAGCACGAAUCCACGAGAUUGUAAUCGAGGUUAGAGACCCUUCGUAUCGAGACCCAAGAAGAGUAAACGAUGUGUCCGCCAUCGGAUUGGUAAAGUGACGCGCCCUGGGCCAAGUAUAAGUUCUAAGACCUCGGGAGAUACGGUGAACAGUUGUGCAUAACGGAUAGAGAUCCGUGAAACUCGCCCUCAACCAAAUAUCACGGCGCGUAUCUUGCUCGAUAUCGAUUAUGGAUCAGUAAUUACUGAAAAAGAUGAUUUUUACUUUUUUUAGACUUUUACUAGGACUAAAAUUCCCCUACUAAAUAAAGGGAGAAUUUUUUUUUAGUCUGACACAUUGUAACAUGCAAUUCCAAGCAAUAAAAAUUUAUUUUUACUUUCUAGAUAUUGUCAAGAACUCUGCUCACUUGUACUGUUCUUCAUUCAUGAUUGGGCUCGAACCGAGGGUCCAUUUGAAGGACGAGGUAGCUGUUCAAUUUAAGAUCAAGCUUGGUCAUAACAUUGCGAUUGGUUUGAUCGUUUAUGUCCUCUUUAAUUUAUUUAUCUACUAUUCUUAAUUAUUCGUGUUGAAUUAAAUCAUGUAUCAUUUAAACCACAAACAAAUUUAAUUGUCAAGUAAUUUUGGGGUAAAUAAUUUGGCGCCCACCAUAGGGAUAAGGAUAAUAGUUGUGAUUUGAUAUGAAUCUCCAUAACACACCCUAACAUACUCUCAAUCUUAUCACUUGAACGUUGACGCUGAGUCUGUCCAUCACAACAAAAAUAAUAAUUUGGUGCCCAGCAAUGAUGUGCUUCCUGCCGAUCCCAGCAUUGUCCCAGCUACCGACCCGGUCGAUGUUAACUCACAGGUGGUCAUCAACAUCAAUUUGCCAAUUGAUCCUGAAAAUAGUGUUCGUGGGGGACCCCGACCAACAACUCGAGAAGCACCCGAAGGCAAGGUGAUUGGGUAAGCCUACGACUGAUUUUCGAAAUGCGGCAAGCUCAAUAAGUGAAAAUAGCAUAGAUGCAUAAUCAAAGCUACGUCCCCAAUAGGGUCGAGCUCAAACAAUCCGGGGAAAGCACCAGAAGAGACGAAAAUAUUACCGAGAGACCGGGUGAAGCCAAACCGUCUGAAUCCUCAGAGUCUUCGGGACUCUCAAGCUCAUAGAGUUCCUUCGCCUCGGCCUUAAGUCUCUUGGCUUCUUCAAUCUCGGCCGACAAGUCAAAACCUCGGGCAUGAACCUCCUCGAAGGUCUCUCUUCAGGAUAGCCGUUUUACGUACUCAAUAUUCGUCUUUAAGCGGGCCUCGGCUCUCUUCACAUAGGUCGUAUACUGGGCCAGCAUUUCCUCAAUUUUGGAGGAAUCAAUAGAAGUUGCCUCCAGCCUGGACCUCAGCGCGGCAUAUUCCUGGCUGAGGGAAUCCGUUUCCCUAACAGCUGAGUUCAACUGUGCUUGGAGUUCAUCGUUUAGCCGAGACCACUUGUCGUCCUUGUCCUUUGCCACCCGGAGAUGGUCCUUGACCGAUGCCAGCUCCACUUUUGCAGCCUUUUUUUCUGAAACCCAUAGGUCCAUCCUGCCCUUCCACACCUCGGUCGUGGCCUUGACCUCGUCCAUCUCAGCCCGAAGCUGGUCGAUCAGGUCUACCUUCUCUUGGACCUGCGAAGUUACGUUGUUAGUCACCACGAGUAGCUUCUCAUUUUUAGCCUCAAAGAUCCUUACCUUCUCAGCCAGGUCGGCGUUCUCCCGAUUGAUGGAUAAGGCUUGCUUUUGAGCCUUUUCCAGCUCGGCUCGGAGAAUUGGGAGGUCCUUGAGGGCCUCGUCUUGUUGCUCACUGAGAGCCCUGUACAUGUCCUUCUUUCAGACAUGCUCUUUGAGCUCGAACUUGAGCUGGCUAAUCUCCAAGCGGGAUCGAAGAAAGACUUCAUGGUAAAGCACUGAAGCUGGCUGAUCUCGGGGUAAGGAACAACUUCACUAGUUUCGAGCUCGAGCUCAGUUUGCUCACUUCCGAUGGCACAUCAUUUUUUGGGGCUUUCAGGUGACCAAGCUCGGAAAAGUCCUCUAACACGGCCAUGUCUAUGCCAUCGAAGAACGUGUUGAGGGCAUCAUUUGGGCUCGACACCGUCUCGUUUGAUUUCUCUUUACCUUCUUGAGCCUCUUUGAGCAUGGUCUCGGUAUAGGACGACAUCUCCGUUAUGUAAAUGACACCAGCUACCUAAUUCAGGACAUGAGCGGCUUCUCGGGUGGCGGCGACCUCCGUCUCUCCCUCUAGCUUCUGAGCUAGGGGGAUCGACCUUGUGGUCACCUUCCCCGACUGCCGUGUGCUCCCCCUCGUUGAGGGUCGACUAAUGAGCAAUAAACUCAAGGUCGUCGUCCUCAAGAUAAUCCGUGAGCCGGUAGAGGGAAUCAGAGUCCGGUACCUUGGACUUGGAGCUCUUUUUGCAUUUUUGGACCUGGGUGGUCACCCUCUUCUUCUUUAACUCGGCGUCCGGGGAGCCUUAAGACUUCUUCUUCUUUUUCUCCUCCUUUGUGGUAGCCCCAGGCGGUCCGGAAAUGGAAGGCUCGGCAAGUGAGGACGAGUCCUCGUCAACAGGCCUAAGCUUAGUGGUCUUAGGCAAACUUGUAGGAAGAAAGAAGACUUAGAGAUGUAUAAGUCAAGAAUAUGAAGGUACUAGUUGGGAAAAAGCCUUACCAUGGGAAUGGGCCUCCCCUUUCCCCUUCAAGAACUUGCGCCAAGCGCACUCGGAGUAUAGCAUCUAUUUGUAGAUCCCCUCGAUCCACUCCUUAAAUCGGGGGACUGCAUUGGGAACUUGGGAUACCGCUGCACAACGACAAACACAGGCAAUUAGAAAAAUAAGCUCAAGAAGGAAAAGACUUACGGGAGGCGUUCCACUUCUCCGGGAAAGGUAGAAAUUCGGAAGGGAUGAGGUCUUUGAUUUUCACCCAAACAAACCUCCCCUACCAACCUCGACCUCGAUCCUCGUCGAUGCUCGAGAACGGAGCCUUGCUUGCCCGGCAGACGAGCUUGAUCAACCCUUCAUGGAAGAUUCGGGGACUAUAUAGAUGAAGCAGAUGGUCGAGGGUGAACCGAGGUGCUUCGGUGUUGUUCAUGAAAUGUCGUAGGAGGAUUACAAUCCUCCAAAAUGACAGAUAAAUCUGCACAAGGCAGACCUCGUACGUUUUACAAAAGUCGAGGAGUACGGGGUCCAUCGGGGCGAUCGUGAAGGGGUAAGUGUAAACAUUUAAGUACCUCUUCACGUGAGUGGUGAUGUCGUCGUUGGGCAUGGGGACGACCACCUCCUUGCCCUUCCAGUUACAGUCUACCGGGACUGUGGUCAAUGUUUUCUCAGUAAAGGAGCAUAUGUACCUCCAUGCUCUCUCACAUCGGUCCUGUUGACUGGAGGCCUUCUCGAUAUUGAAAUCAUUCUCGAUAGAGCAGCCUCCAGGUACGAAGCUCCUUAAGGGAGGCUCCUGGGCCACCUCAGGAACGGUCACCUCGACGUCUAUGGACGGGUUGGAAGAUGAAGGAGCGACUUGUUGAGGCACAUACUUGAAAGUUUUUUCCAUCGGGAUAUGAAAAAUAUAAAGCUUUGAAGAAAUAAUAUAAAGGUUUGAAGGAAAGAUAUGAAGCUUUCAAGAUGUGAUGAGGAUAUGAAGGUCUGGGUUGAAGAUUCAAAGAAAAUGUAUGAAGGUUGAGGAUGAGGAUAUGAAGGCCAAAGGAGCAAUAUAUGAAGAUUUGAAGGAGUUAAAAGGCAAGUAGAGAAUUCGAGGGUAAGUCUAAGAGUUUUGGAAUCGAAAAGUAGAGAAGUAUAAAAGGGUAAGAGCUUUUAUAGAGGAAGGACAAUCAAUGCGUUACGUUUCACAUUCUAGGGCAGUCAACCAACGGCUGACAUGUGUCCGAAGUCAGAACGAUGCGACUGAUGGAACGUUUCGUUAACCCGUCAUAUCAGUUGUAACGUACGAAUGAAGGAAUCGGGGUCCAUCUAUCGCUUCCCGUCAUUUCGGUAAACCUACUCUCCGAAAAAUGAGGGGACUAUCUGUGUACGGGUAAAAUCGGUGGUAAUGUCUACCCCGAUUUCCCGAUGAGAAAACAGAGGGAGAGCACGGAUCUACGAGAUUAUAAUCGAGGUUAGAGGCCCUUUGUAUCUAGACCCAUGAAGAGUGAACGAUGUGUCCGUCAUCUGGUAUGGUAAAUCCAUGCGCCUCUGGCUAAGUAUAAGUUCGAAGACCUCGGGAGACAUGGUGAACGAUUGUGCAUGACCGAUAGAGGGCCGUGAUACUCGCCCUCAACCGGAUAUCACGGCGCGUAUCUCGCUCGAUGUCGAUUAAGGAUUAGUAAUUAUCGAAAAAAGAAGUGUUUUACCUUUUUUAGACUUUCACUAGGAUUGAAACUCUCCUACAUUUUAACACGCAAUUCCAGACAAUAAAAGUUUAUUUUUACUUUCUAGCUAUUGUCAAGAACUCUGCUCACAUGUAUUGUUCUUCAUUCACGACUGGGCUCGAACCGAAGGUCCAAUCGAAGACGAGGUCGCUGUUCAGUUUAAGAUCAGGCUUGACCAUAACAUUGCGAUUGGUUUAAUCAUUUAUUUUGUCUGUAAUUCAUUUAUCUGAUAUUCUUAAUUAUUCGUGUUGAAUUAAAUCACGUAUCUUUUAAACCACGUACAAAUUUAAUUUUUACCUAAUUUUAGGGUAAACACUAGUGACUAUAAACUACUACAAAAGACUUAUUUUCGUUCCUUCUUGGUAUAUACUAUAUGUUGUCACCUUUGGUAUCAAAAUUGGAUUUCAAGGUAAAGCAACGUGUUUCUCGACGGACACGAACAUGUUGCCUUUUUGGUUCAAUUCCAUUAUCAUUGCUCAAAAUUCGUGUUUUAUGGUGGUCUCGUCCUGAAUAAUGAUGGCUGCUCAGCAUUUUAGAUGGUAGUCGCGCUUCAUUGAUUUGAUAUACCUGUAUGGCAAAAUAGUUAAAAGAAAAUAGUUAUCCAUCUAUAUAAUUUAUUAAAAAAUAGGUUGAAUAAUAAACUUUUUAAAAAUGGGUCAAAUAUGAAUAAAAAUCAUAUUAUUCACUUAGAAAAUAGAUAACUAAUGAGUUUAACUUUUAUAUUUGUAAAGUCUCAAAUUGGGGACUCCUCAAGUUUGAGAUAUUAUGAAUUCUCCCAAAAGUGAUCAUAUUCAAGAAGUCAUGGAUAAUAUGGAUAUCCAUAUUAUUCAUCAGUUAAUCCGUAUUAAAUAUGAGUCGGAUCGGAUAAUUUAUCCGAUUUUUACAUUACCCAUUUUUGACCGGACCAUAUCCAACCCGACCCGCCUGUUUGUCACCCCUGCCUGCGCAUAUCAACAAGUAAACCAAGGUUAAUUUGAUUGGAAUACUAGUUUUGAUCCAAGUUGUAUUCGUUAAUUAAAUUAUUUUUGUUUAGCAUAUAGGAUACAAAAUUUAUUGCUUGCAGAUUUUCGUUAUUCACCUUUGGGGAGUUCUUUUUUCAAUUGUUCUACAUCUAUAUAUAUGAAAGGCAGGAAGGUCCAAUGUGAGAUUUUUUAUCGAGUGAGAAUCUACUUGCAAUAUUUAGCACCUUCAUAGAAAUUAGUUAUUUUAAAAAACUACAAUUUCAGUUAUGUUCGUUUUUUGUAGUUAAAAAUAUCUUAAAAUGUUUUGAAAGAUCAUAAUGAAAAAUAAAGAAAGGGAAAAAGAGGUUUGUAAUUUUUGUUCCAAUCCAUAUGUUUCGUUGUCUACUCCAUUUGAUCUCACCAAAUCUUUGGGCGAAUGUUUACCUGUAAAACGGUAAAGUUGAAUUUGUUCGUAAUUUUUAGACAAGUGAAUUAAUUUGAUCCAAAAAAUAAUGAAAUAACUGAUGAAAUAUAAAAUAUUUAGCCUUAAAAUGUAGAUGAAACGACAGAGCGGAUGAGUCCGAGAACAGGGUUUCCGGGCACAAUAAUAAUGAGAUCAAAAACAAGAAAGUAAAUAAUAUUAAGCUCUGUAUAGAGUGUAGUAUAACUUUGCUAGAAAAUUCGUGUCCUUUACAAUGAAAACUACGCUCUCUAUUUAUAGUUAUGUCUAGGGAAGGAGGUCCUAGGAUCAUGCCCUUCUUUAAUGUCAAUUAUGAGGGCCAGAUGAAGAUGUAACGGUAGACAUAAAUAUCAAAUUUCCUGUAACGGGUCAUCAUCCUUAAUGCUACAAAGCAUUUAAUACUCCUUUUAUGAUCGUUAUUCCUUCCGGUGACAAGCGGAAUAGCUAUGUUUGGCGGCUAUCUUCAUCUUGGGUUCCACGUGUCCUUCCUUUAAGUGGCCACGUAUCAUGUCGUAUUUUUUCCUAUGCAGAUAGUCCCCCUGCUUUCCGGUGACACAAUCUUGUGUUAUCGGAAAGUUGGUAGAAAUACUUCUUUUGGCGGGAAUUACUAUAACUCCCUCUGCAGUCUUCUGACGGUUAAUUUGACGCACGUCUCUCCGCACUUAAUGCUCUGAACACGUGUCAACCCAUAAUUUAGCAUAGCUUUUGCCGUUUAUCGAGGUAAUCAAGGCCAUGAAUUUAGCCGCCAAAACUUUACUUAUACGCAUCAUCCUCCUCUUAUGUACUUCAUAAUUUCUCAAUUUUCUAACUUGCAUCUUUAUUUCCCAACUUUUCUCUAAUCCUCUUCGAACCAGAAAUUUUCCUUCCUUCUAUUCCAAUGGCUUCCUCUUCAAAAUGUGCUAGUUCUUCAAAGGGCAAGAACAAAGCUGAGGACUCUGCGACGGUGGGUUCCAUCAUCCCAAGGAAGUUUAACACUACAAAGGAUUUUGAAAAAAAAUUUCCUACUACUAAUUCUCGUACAUGUGCUGUUAGUAGGUAUCUUUCUUCCAUCCGUCCUUCCAAUAUUCCAACUAUGAACGAAGAUUGCCGCUGUCAUGAAUUGGACAUCAUUGCUCCUAGCCUAUAGGAGCGAGUGACCCUUCUCACGGAAGGAUUUACAUAUUUUUAUACUUAUACCUUUACUUUGGGUGCGUUUUCUUUGAGCGGAUAGCUUGAUCCCGUGAUUGCGUAAUUUUGCCUUCGCUACCAAGUGUGUUUGGCACAGGUAAGCCCUUCAGUAUGGAGGAUGGUUUCCUGCCUUCGACGCCUGUGCCAGAAAACUGAGAAAAAGCUAUCAUUAGCUUGUAUAAUGAACCUUUAUUCCCCCAAGAUUUUUCGAGGAUGUAUGAUAAACCUCUACAAACAUGACUACCAUGCUCUGUUGACUAGCAUGGAUGAUGACAACGACCAUGGGUAGAUAGAAUGGUUCAUUGCAACUGCCACCAAUAAUAUUAUUCCGUCAGCGGCAUCAUCCUCUCCAAGUGCUUGGAAUCGUACUCGUAAGAUUUCCUUUAAAUAUAUUUUCUCUUAAUAAAAAUUCUUUCAUGCAUGUAUUGAUCCUUCAACCUUCUAUGUUACAGCAACUCAAUAGAUCCCACCGGUGGGUUCAAAAGAUCUUGGACGUUACGACGUCCGAGACUCGCUUAUGGAAAAAACUGGCCCUUAAGUACGAGUUGAGGGCUAAAAGUCAUGGUAACUUUAAUUUACCUUAUUUUUGUUUUAUAUGUGAAGAAGUUGGUUGAACCCUCCUAACUUUGUUCAUGACAUUAGGUCUACUUGUGGGCUCAGUUGAUGUCCCGGGGGAGGAUUCUUUGGCUGACCCUGCUGAUGCGGCGGGGCUGCUUUAGGAGAAACUUACUCGAACAUGCAUCUCCCAGACUGCUUCGGGCACAAACGUUUCUUCACGGAGUCACCGGCCAGAGAACAAGCAACCAAAGAGAAGACGUUCCUCUAUGGCCGAGGAAAAGAAUAAGAGGGCAAAGACUGGUACCCACAAAUUAUCUCCGGUGGCGAAUGUGACUGGUUCCCCUUCCGGGCUGGUCAUAGACACUGUGAUGAUUGAUGACAAUGAAGAAGCUAGUGAUGAGAGAGCUUCUCUACACAGAAGGCGACGAUCCUCAUCGUCUCAACAAGAUGCUCGACCUGUUGAGGCAGUUUCACCAAUCGAGGACGAUUUCUCGGCAUUGUGGGGAGAGUUUGACUUGGUAGAUAAUGCCAAUUACUGUUUUCGAGCCCCAGUUGUUGUGUCCGGUACUACAGGGCUGAGUAUCGGAUCCCUGCCAUCUUUGGUUGGAGAGUAUCCUCCCACCAGCACUGCAUUUGAUGCUGCUGCUUCUCAUCCUUCGGCUCCAUCGGCUUCAUCUCCGUCUUCACCAUCACCAGCAAGUGCUACAUCAUUUCCAUCUUCAUCCAUUCCUCCACUAGCAAUUGCUACAUCAUCUCCACCGGCCUCAUCCAACCACGGAGAGGGUACUCCUCUUCCCCAAUCCCAGUUCAUGGGAAUUUGGGGCAAAAUUAUGCUGCCCCUUCUGAGGAUCCACAGAGGAGGAUGAGUGUUACCCUUUCGGUCUCCACCGGGUACAACCUGCUCUCGAGGUCGGUGGAGCUUGCUAACUAUCCGAAGCCAUUGGCUUCAGAGAAAGACUAGGAAAAUAUCCAAGCACUUUUGGGAGAGUGUUUGUUGAACAAUGCCAUGCAUAAUACCGCAGUGGUGCGCCCCUUUCAACCUUUGCUAUUUCUUUGACUUUUGCAUGAAUUUGUACUAAAUUUUAUUUAUCUUAUUUUUUAGGCCAACUUUCUUGCUUCCGAGGGCCUACAGAGGUUGAUUCGUGAGAAAGAGGAACUUACUUCUAAACAGAAUCAGCCUUUGGAGAAACGUGACCAAACUAUUCUCCGCCUCUUGGAACUGGAAACCAAAGCUACUGAGGCAGUUAUUUUGGAGGCUCGCUUGCAGCAAAGAGAGCAAGAAGUGAUAACCCUUAGCUAAGAGAUUGGCCCGCUGACGGUUAGAUUUGAUGAAGACAAGUCCAAAUGGGCUGAAGUCCAGAACGCCAUUCUUGCUGCAACCGAGCGCGAGGCUGCCAUUGCCGAAAAAGUGUCUGAAUUAGAAGUAGCCUUGAACUCCAAAAUAUAAGAUCUUGAUACUAUGGAGGCAAAGCAUGCCAGUUGGAAGAGAGGUACAGAAAAACUAUCGAGCAUAAUAGGCUCUUUAGUUCAACUGUCCUCGACCUUGAUGUUAGCCUCCAAUCUGUUAGGUCCGCCCGGGAUAGGCUCUCUGAUGAAGAAACCCAACUCAAAGAGAAAGUCAAGCGUCGAGAGGCUUCCCUCAUUUUUUGAAAAAACUUAUGCCAUGUAUAGCAUGACAAAACCUUGGAAGAGGCCAAAUCAGGCAUCAUUGACUUUGAUGCCGAAAUUGCUAGGGCCCGAGAGCUUGAGUUGGCUACUAAAAAUGGACUCCCAAUGCAGUCUGAUGCUUCUGGUUCCGGUUCCGAGUUUUCAGGGACUGGAGAGGAGUCGGAAGAUGAUGAUGCUGAAGACCAAACCAGGAAAAUUGUUGAGCCAUCGGUGAGCCCACCUGCUUCUCCCGGGGAUGCGGACGCUUCUCUUCCUACUGGUUCCGGAGAUGCUGCAAUUUAGCUUUUUUUUUCUUUUUUCUUAUCUUGUACUUUUUGCACGCAUUUGUAAAUAAAAAUUUUCUUCUGCUUAAUUAUUUUUUGAGUCUUACUUUCAUCUUAUUUUCGUUAUGCUUCUGUUUGAACAUCCAUGCAAAUAUUCAACUUUUGUGUUUGCGUAAGAAUUUUGUGCUCGUUUUCAUUUUGCGCUUUGCUAUGUGUAGUCUCGGAUGCAAAGCAUUAUCCCUUUUACAUGAGGGUUUUUAUAAGUAUUUUCACAAAUUUACCUUUUGCGUCCUUUCUUAUACGUCCUUCGGGUGCAUUUUCCCCAAAAGCGCUUUGAUUUCAUGCACAGACUCUUUCUAAACCAACCCUUUAACAUGAGAGAUUUCAUAAGAUAGGGCUCUCUUAUGUUUACGGUGCUCUUGAAGAGGACGUCUCAUGUUUAUUAUGGUACUAACAUUUGAAGUACUUGUUUAACUUUUAAAUAGCAAAAUUAAUUCAUCGUUCAGACAAGAAACAAGAUAAAAACAAAAGGAUUUUAUGUCUUUUAAUUCCUUCUAUUUUCAAAAGUACAUAAGCAUUUGAUAUGCUGAAAAAAAAUUGCCAUUACUUGUGGCUAUCUUGUACAACUUAUUUCUACGGGGUUGAUUGUGCAGUCUCCGAUCCCGAUGAUGUAUUCUGGUUUUGGAUAUUCGUUCCCCGGUUGACGUGGCAUUCAGUGUUGCCGUAUCCUCAUAUCAUUCCUCCCCCUAGUGUUCGAAUGCAAAGAAUGUGAAUUGGAACACUGGAAGUCUUGCGUCUUCAAAGAUCCCACCAAUGAAUUGCUAGACAAACCUUAACUCGGCAACAAACCUUACUUCCCCUUAGGAAUUCAUGCUAUCGAGUGAAGGAUUAUCUAACAAUCCUCUAGUGGUUUGUUCUCAUGAACGGUCGGGUAACCUUUGUCCUAUAGCAAACUUAACUUCCCAGUGGGAAUUUGCUAUAGAGCCAAAGAUUACCUAACCGUCCCCAAGUGAAGCCUUGCCAUCGAAGAUCUUAUUAUUGUUGUCUUCGCAAUAUGCUUUCUAUCGCUGCCUCAUUAAAAACCUUGCCAAAAAACCCAAUUAGGACAAAAAUUUAACGAAGGAAAAAAGAGUGCAGCAUAUACUUUUCGCUUGGGUAACGUUCAUCAACAGUAAUAUCUUUUGAGGUGUGGCACGUUCCAGUUGCUAGGUAACUUAUCUCCGUUCUGGUUCUCCAACUCGUACGAGCCUUUUCGAGUGAUAGCUGAAAUCCGAUAGGGACCUUCCCACGUUGGGACCAACUUCCCGCAUUAAACUCCCGGGUAUUUUGAGUUAGUUUCCUCAGAACUAAAUCUCCCCCUUUGAAAUAAUGGAAAUUAGCUCUUUGAUUAUAGUAUCACUCCAUUCUCUGCUUUUGAGCCUCCAUUCUUACAUGCGCCAAGUCCCUGCGUUCCUCGAGCAGUUCCAAGUUGAUUAACAUUACUUCGUUGUUAGAUUCUUCUUCCGCCUGGAAAUACCUUAAGGUUGGUUCCUCUACUUCCACCGGUAUCAAAGCUUCUACGCCGUACAGAAGGGAAAAAGGGGUUUCUCCUGUUCUUGACUUGGCCGUUGUUCGGUAGGCCCAUAGAAUCCUAGGUAAUUCUUCGGGCCAAUUGCCUUUUGCUGCUUCCAACCUUUUCUUGAGAUUUUGAAUAAUCACUUUGUUUGUUGACCAUGUUUGACCAUUUGCGCUCAGAUGAUAGGGUGAAGAGGUGAUCCUCUUUAUCUUCAAAUCUUCAAGGAACUUUGUAGCUUUUGCACGAAAUGCGGCCCAUUGUCGCAUACAAUCUCUUUUGGUAUUCCAAACCUGCAAAUUAUAUUUUCCCACAAGAAGUUGAUCACCUCGCGUUCUCCGAUCUUCUAAUAAGGACCUGUUUCCACCCAUUUAGAAAAAUAGUCAGUCAAAAUAAAAAGAAACCUUACCUUUCCAGGAGCCGGUGGUAGCGGUCCGACGAUGUCCAUCCCCUAUUUCAUGAACAUCCACAGGGACAAAAUUGAAUGUAGUGGUUCUGUCAGUUGAUGUACUAGUGGUGCAUAGCGUUGGCACUUAUCACAUUUUUGUACGAAAUUUUUGGCAUCUUGUUCCAUACGGGGCUAGUAAUAUCCUGCCCGAACUAAUUUCAGCACCAAAGAAUCUGUACCCGAGUGAUUGCCGCAUAUCCCUUCAUGGACUUCUCUCAUGACAUAGCUAGCUUCUGAUGCUCCUAAACACCGGGCCAAUGGGCCUUGAAAGGAUUUUCUGUACAAUGGGCCUUUCUUGAACCUAUAACGUGCAGCUUUGGCACGUAACGCUCUUGAUGCUUUGGGGUCUUCGAGCAACUUUCCAUGCUCGAGAUAGUCGAUUAUUUUGUUUCUCCAGUCCCAGACCAAACUAUUCGAAUUCACCUCAUAGUAACUAUUUGUGUCCAAGAUUGAGUUCAUCAGUUGUACUAUUGUCCAUGAUUCUGAUCCCUGUAUUUAUGUCGAUGAGCCCAAAAUUGCCAAUGCAUCUGCUUUCGCGUUUUCUUCCCUCGGGAUAUGAGUAAUUGACCACUCCCAGAAUCGUUCCAAUAAAGUCUAAACUUUUACCGCGUAUUGUUUCAUACGUUCCUCUUUGGUGUCAAAAAUUCUGUAGACCUGAUUUACCACCAACUGCGAAUCAUAUUUGAUUUCGAUGACUUCGGAAUCAAGCUCCCGGGCCAAUUCGAGCCUUGCAAUCAAAGCUUUGUACUCUGCUUAAUUGUUAGUUAAAGGAAUCAUUCUGAUGGCUUGCCUUAAGGUUUCUCCCAAAGGCGUGAUCAAGACUAUUCCGAGCCCAGACCCUUUUAUGUUUGAGUCUUCAUCCGUAAAUAAGGUCCAAACUCUCGAUGUUGUAUCUGACACCAUUAUUGCCUCCUUGGCUGCUAGAGGCAAUAGUCCCGGAAUGAAAUUGUCCACGAAGUCAGCUAAGACUUGUGACUUAAUUGCAGUACUCGGUUUAUACUCUAGAUCGAACUCGCUCAUUUCGACGGCCCAUUUGGCCAAUCUACCCAAGAGCUCGGGUUUAUAGAGGAUAUUUCUUAAAGGGAAAGUAGUCACCACACCUAUCGGGUAGCAUUAGAAGUAGGACCUCAACUUUCGAACGGCGACUACGAGAGCUAAGGCCAACUUUUCCAGAUGUGAGUACAGAGUUUCUGCUCCCGUUAAAAUUUUGCUUACGUAAUAAAUGGGAGAUUGCAUUCUUUCAUACUCUCGGACUAAAAUUGUACUUAUCGCAACUUCUGAGACCGCGAGGUAGACUAGCAAUGUUUUACCUUCUUUUGGUUUUGAGAGCAACGGGGGGCUUCACUAAUAUUUCUUCAACUCCUUCAAGGCUUGUUGACACUCCUAUGUCCAUUCGAAAUUGUUUUUCUUUUUGAGUAGUGCGAAGAAGCGAUGACAUUUUUUCGAUGAUCGGGAAAUGAACCUGCUCAAACCUACCAAUCUCCCUGUGAGCCUCUGGACUUCUUUUACGUUAGACAAUUUAUCCGGGAUGUCCUCUAUGUCCUUGAUUUUGUCGGGAUUUACCUCAAUUCCCCCUUGUGAGACUAGGAAUCCUAGGAACUUACCCGAACUAACCCCGAACGCACAUUUCUCGGGGUUAAGUUUCAUAUUAUGCUCCCUCAGGAUGUCGAAUGUUUCUUGCAAAUACUUCAGGUGGUCACCUGCAUUCAAAGACAUAAGGAGCAUAUCAUCUAUAUAUACUCCAUAGUCUUUCCUAUUUGUUUUUCAAACAUCUUACUCACGAGUCGUUGAUAAGUGGCUCCAACAUUUUUUUAACCCGAAAGGCAUCACAUUGUAACAAUACGUACUAAAAUUCGUUAUAAACGAAGUCUUUUCCUGGUCUUCUAGGUUCAUCUUGAUAUGAUUGUACCCAGAAAAUGCAUCGAGGAAACUCAUUAACUCGUGCCCGCCGUGGCAUCAAUCAUUUAAUCGAUAUUUGGCAAUGGGAACAAGUCUUUUGGGCACGCCAUAUUAAGAUCCUUAUAAUCUAUGCACAUGCGAAAUUUAUUAUUUUUCUUAGGAAAUGCUACUACAUUGGACAAGAGUGGGUUGCUCUAGUGGUGAGCACCCUUCACUUCCAACCAAGAAGUUGUGAGUUCGAGUCACUCCAAGAGCAAGGUGGGGGGGUUCUUGGAGGGAGGGAGCCGAGGGUCUAUCGAAAACAGCCUCUCUACCCUAGGGUAGGGGUAAGGUCUGCAUACACACUAUCCUCCACAGACCCUGCUAGUGGGAUUAUACUGGGUUAUUGUUAUUGUUGUUGUUGUUGGCUAGCCAGACUGGAUAUCUUACCUCUCGGAUUGAAACAAUAUUAAGUAAACGGGUUACCUCUUCUUUGACGAAUUUAUUCCUUGCUUCAGCAAUAGGGCGCUUCUUUUGUCUUACCGGAGGUAUGUUGGGAUCUAAGAUUAACUUGUGUACGACUAUCUCCGUUGGGACUCCUGUCAUAUCCUCGUGUGACCAUGCAAAACAAUCGGUGUUUAUUUUAAGGAAUUCAAUAAAAGCAGACCUGAGCUCCGGGUGUAGUCCUGUUCACAAAUGGAAUUUCCUUUCUAGGAAUUCUUCGAACAAUGCAACUUUCCCUAGUUCUUCUGUCGUGGAAUUCGUCGCGUCCGUCUCUUCUGGUACUUGAAAAUACCUUGGUACUUGAUAUGGUUCCAACUCUUCUGUCCCCUGGCUAACUUCCUCUGGUUUGGGGGAAGGUACUGGUUCCAGUAAUUGCUAUGUCGCAAGUUCCUUUCCUUUUCUACUGGAGAUCGAAAUUGCAUUCAUCUCCCUUGUUGUAGGUUUAUCGCCCCUUAUCUGUUUGAUCCCCUCGGGUGUCGGAAGCUUUAACAAUUGAUGAUAUGCUGAAGGCACAACUUUCAUCUCAUGCAACCAUGGUCUUCCCAAGAUGAUAUUAUACCUCAUGUCUCCAACUACCACUUCGAAGAGAGUUGUCUUCAUUACUCCCUCAGUAUUCGUGAGCAAUAAAAUUUCUCCUCGGGUUGUCACGCUUACAAAGUUAAAUCCAGCGAGGAGUUUUGUUGCCGAGAUAAUGCUUUCGGUGAGUUUAGCUUGCUUCAGUGCUCUCCAUUGUAUGAUAUUAGCUGAACUUCCUGGAUCUACUAAGACACGUUUAAUUUUAAAAUCUAACACAUUUAAAGAAAUUACCAGUGUGCGGUAACAGCAAUCGGUAUGCAUCUUUGUCCGUAAAUGUGAUAUCAUCUUCCCGGAGCCUUUUACUAUGAGUUAUUGAUACUUUUGUCUUCUUUGUUUCCGAAAAGGUGACCCCAUUAAUCUCAUUCCCUCCGAAGAUCAUGUUGAUCAUUUGGCAUGGGGGUUCUUCUCUUGCUUUCGAGGGUUCCGCGUCACCUCUAUUCAGGCCAUAAUUAUUUUUAGCUCGGUCACUCAAGAAUUCUCUGAGAUGAAAUUCUUUAACAGUGUUGCCACUUCUUCCCGGAGGUGUCUGCAGUCCCUAGUCCGAUGGCCGUUAGUACCAUGGUAUUCACACCAUAAGUUAGGAUCCCUCUAGGUGGGAUCAGAUCUCAUAAGUCUCGGGAAUUGUGCCUCUUUGAUAUUUCUCAUGGCUGACACCAGCUCCACUACACUGACGUUGAAGUUAUACUCUGAUAACUUUGGGUAAGAAGACUCUCGCGACCCCGAGAUUUCUUUUUCUUGCAGCUAUCUAUUGUUCCGGCCACUAUCGGUCCUUCUAUUAACAGUGAACUUGUCUACUGUCUGGAAGCUCCUGCCACGACCUUCGGUCCGCUCGUAGGGCAAAAAUAGGCCCUUCGAAGUCCGUCUAUCCGUGUCGUUAUCAUCUUUUAUUUUUUCUAUGUUCUUUUCUCGUCCUAUGGUCGACGAUGAAAAGCCAACCUGAUCUUCUUCGAUUCUUAUUUUUGACUCGUACCGGUUGUGGACAUCCGCCCAAGUCAUCGCUUGAAACUCGAACAGACUUUUCUUCAACUUCCGGGAAGAGUCCGAACUUCUCGGAUUUAAACCUUUGGUGAACGCUUCAGCUGCUCAUUCAUCCGGAACUGCGGGUAGUAACAUCCUUUCCUUAUGGAACCGAGUAACGAAGUCUCAUAAUAAUUCGGAUUCUCCCUGCGUGAUCCUGAAUAUGUUGGCCUUUCAGGCUUGUACCUUUCUGGCACCAGCAUGGGCCUUGAUGAAAGAAUCCGCGACUAUCUCAAUGGAAUAUAUAGAAUGCUCGGGUAAUAAUGAAUACCACGUUAAAGCUCCCCCUGUGAGAGUCUCACCAAAUUUCUUUAGCAACACGAAUUCAAUUUCGUGAGGAGCCAAAUCAUUUCCUUUUACUGCCAUCGUGUAAGUGGUAAUAUGCUCAUGAGGAUUCUAAGUUCUGUUAUAUUUUGGAACUUCAUGCAUUUUGAACCGUUUUAGGAUCAAUUCUGGUGCCGCACUCAGCUAGUAUACUUAUUUGAAUCCGGGCCCUUCAUUACUAGUGGCGCGCCCGGGAUUUGGUCCAUGCGGGCUUUUACUUCUUUCAUGAACCGUAAAAGUUCAUUAUUGAACGGGUCGUUCUCGCUGUUGAGACCGGAUCCGCUUCCCCCAGCCCCGUCAGAAUCGACUUCACCCUUGGGAGUAUUGUUGUUGACUCUCUGCAUUGUUUCGUUUUCGGAGAGGAAUUGGAUCUCGCUUGUUUGCAUUAUUCGAAGCCCCCGACAGCGCCUGUUUUAGCUCCGUCAUAACCUUAUCCUGCCGAGUGAGAUGGCCUAGAAUAAUCGCCUAUUGCUCUUGCAAGACGCUUACCGCAUCGAAGACAUGCUCUUCAUUAACAUCAUCGGGAGUUGUUUCCCGAACAUGUCGAGGAUAUUGCAUGUCAUGUAUCGGUGUAGCGUCAUUCCCCUCGUUGUGGUCGUCACAGAUUGAAUCCUAGAAAUGAGGUUGAUCCCCUCGAAAUCCAGGAUUGUGAGUGUUGUUAACAGUAUUGUCUGUCAUUUUUUUGUGAUUUUUUCUAAGACAAAACAAUCAAAGCUUGUUAGUAAAAAAAGUAAGGAUCAAUUUAAUUGCACGACUGUCUAGGCUCCACGGUGGACGCCAAACUGUUUACCCGUAAAAUGGUACAGUUGAAUUUGUUCGUGAUUUUUAGACAAGUGAAUUAAUUUGAUCCAAAAAAUAACGAAAUAACUGAUGAAAUAUAAAAUACUUAGCCUUAAAAUGUAGAUGAAACGACAGAGCUGAUGAGUCCGGGAACAGGGUUUCUGAGCACAAUAAUGAUGAGAUUAGAAGCAAGAAAGUAAAUAAUAUUAAGCUCUGUAUAGAGUGUAGUAUAAGUUUGCUAGAAAAUUUAUGUCAUUUAUAAUGAUAACUGAACUCCCUAUUUAUAGCUAUGUCUAGGGAAGGAGGUUCUAGAAUUAUGCCCUUCUUUAAUGUCAAUUAUGAGGGUCAUUAAUGAAGAUGUAACGGUAGAUAUAAAUGCCAAAUUCCCUUUAACGGGCCAUCAUCCUUAAUGCUGUAAAAUAUUCUGUAUUAAAUGUUACCGGGUGUAAAACAUUUAACACUCCAUUUUAUGAUCGUUAUUCCUUCCGGUGAAAAGCGAAAUAGCUAUGUUCGGUGGCUAUCUCCAUCUUGGGUUCCACGUGUCCUUCAUUUAAGUUGCCAUGUGUCAUGUCGUAUUUUUCCCUAUAUAGAUAGUCCCCUUGCUUUCCGAUGACACAAUCUUGUGUUACCGGGAAGUUGGUAGAAAUACUACUUUUGGCGGGAAUUACUAUAACUCCCUCUACAGUUUUUUGACAGUUGAUUAGAUAAGGAUCGGAUAAGUUACAAAACCGGAUGGCCUUUUGAUUCUCGGUACGUUGCCCCCAGCUCGAGUUAUCCGUUCGGGUAAGAUAGAUCUAGAACUUUAAACCUUUAAGGUUUAAACUUAGAAGAACAUAGCCUCAUGUAGGAUCCCUAGUAGGUACGCUUGUUUGCAUCACGUACAUUAGACUUUUGGGACUCAACACAUGGGUUGAGUCGUCUAGGACAUGUGUACCCGAAAUUAAAAAGACCAUCCUGAUGCAUCUUACGUGCUACUUUUGUAUUUGUUUGAAUUGGUUUGCAUGUUGACUCGCUUCUAGAAUAGGGAAAUAAAAUCAAGAAAAACCGAGAUAUAGAAGGUAGGAGAGAGAAAAUUGAUCGGUUCUAGAACAUCUCGGUAUUUGAAAAAAAAAGAUCCUAGAACUCUAACUAAUUUUAGAAGGAGUUCACAAAUGAGUCCGAAUUUUCAAAAAAUGACAUUUUCCCUCGGUCCUGAAAAACUCGCCGUACUACGCGUGUCUGAUUUUCACCGGAUGUGAGAUACGUAGGCAAACCUUAUCGGUUCCGGCCCCCAAUUUUCAAAAAUCUAGAAAUAUUUUCCUUUAAUUCCUUCUUUAGAAGUCUUUCCUUAGAAAAUCUCAAAUAAAAAAAAUUAACCCAAAAAUAUUUUCUUUCUUUUACAAGUCUUUCAUUCGAAAAGGAAAUAAUAAAUAAAUAAAUCAAUCAAAUCAAGAUUCAUAAAUAUGUUUUUUUUCCUUCUUUAGAAGUUUUUCUCCCAAAAACAAAUCAAAAAUCAAAACCAAAAAUUCAAAAAUAUUUUCUUUGUUCUUUGGAAGUAUUUCUUUCGAAAAUUUCCAAUCAGAAAAAAAAAAUCAAAAUCCAAAAAUAUUUUUCUUGUUAGGAACUUUUACGAUUAGAUUUUUUAAAGAGUUAAAAAAAAGGACGUUAAUUUAUUUACUUUAGACAUGAGACAGAAUUCUAAUUUUCAAUUCAAAACAACGACAGAACCUACGAACAUGAUAUGUGAUACAUAAUAAAAACAAAUUAAAUUAACAUCUGCUUACUGACUUGCGGUAGGUGAACUUAACAUAAACUAGUUUAUCAUUCCAGUUUGGAGAGUUUAAUAUUUAGACGAAAAGAUUGAAAACUGAUCAUUUUUUUCAAUGUCUAUCUCUUAGCUCUAUAUCUUGGAUUACUAAGCUACUGCUAUGAGAUGAAUAGGUGAGUUCAAAUUUAUAGUGAAUCGUAGGAUAGAUUUUGCUUUUCCUAUUUGCUGUAUUGUUGGAUGAAACAGCUUCAUAGAUUUGCUUUUAUAAAUUCAUGAAAAUCCCAGCGGUGUUGGUAUAUUACACAUUAAUUAAAGUGGCCUUCCGAUACAAGAAACUUUUGCAUACUCUCACGGCCUUAAAAAUUAAGUAUUUUUUGCUUUUCUGGAGUCAACAAUUAUUAAAUUUUAGCCAUGAAUCUUCUUAAUAAACUUUUUGAAAUGAAUGAAUUUCAGUUUGGAGUAUUUCUCUUGUAGUGUCUAGUUCAGUGUACUCAUUUUUUCCCCAAUUUGUUUGACACUUUUUUUUUGUAUAUCACGAAAAUUGACAAAUUUUUGUACUUAGAGAUUAUUUAAUCUUCCACAUUCAUUUUGUCCUAAUACGAAUCGACAUGAUUUUUCAUGAUCGAAAUGAAUAAAAAUACAACUACAAUUUGGUACUAAGGGUGCUUUUGACAUUUUAUGCAUAUUUUAAUUUUUUAAAGAUAACGUGUCCAUUCGAAUUUCCAAACAAAUGGAUGUGAGACAAAGAGAUUAAUAAACCAUUGUCAAAUCGAUUUAAUUUGUAUACAAUAACAUUUUAGAAAAAUUUGCACUAUCAAUAUAUCUUUACUUGUCACAUUAAAUAACCUAUCUUAAUUUUCAAAUUAUUAAUUUCAAUUUUAUGUGUCACACCUCCUUUUUCCCGAAGGGGAUAGAGAGUUUUUCCAAUUGAAUUGACAUUAAUCGAAAUGAAAUUAUUUAUUCAGAGUCGUCACUUGGGAUAAUUUAUGGUGUCCUAAGUCACCGGUUUAUUUCAAAUCCCAAAUCGAGGAAAUUUGACUAUGUUUUAAAGUCUGCAAAAACCAGAAGACCGGGUAAGGAAUUCUGUUAACCCGGAAGAAGGUGUUAGGCAUUCCCGAGUUCCGUGAUUUUAGCACGGUCGCUCAACUAUUAAUAAUUGGCUUAAUAAUCUGAUUUAUUACAUGUUUUAGAACCUAUUAUGCAUUUUUACCUUUUAAAACCGCUUUUAAUUAUUUAUGAAAUUAUUUGAACAAGUCGCGAUGUCGCGCACUCGUUUGUUUUUGUACACAUUGCGAAUCGCGCCACGUAAAACACAUCCAUAAUUUAUAACAUGUUAAUUUUUAUUAUUCGAAGUUAUGGUCGAGCACAUGAAAUGCACACCCAAAUUUGGAUUUAUGUAUCAUGACCAUGCCACAGGAACUGUACUCAUAGUCACGAUGAUUUAUUAUUAAUCACGCCUAAAGCAAGCUACGAUAUUUAUGAAUAUUAACGGCCAAGCAUGCUCCUAACGGUCAAAACAAUUGAAUAAUGCAAUAAAGGUUACAGUUUCAAUAUUUCAUUUCAAUUUAGCCCAACGUCCCUACGCCCGACAUGAAAGCUCAUUUAAAUAUAAGUCCAACAAAGCACUCAAGAAAAACAAAUAGCAUCCAAACAAAUAACACAUCGUGCAGCAAAUUGCUCCUGCGAUAACAUAAGGUUAUUUAAAACACGAUUCUAGCCCACUAAUAUACCAAACCAAUCUAUAGAAAAUUUCAGAGAAUUCAAGCCUAACAUAUCCAAACUCACUUUGUUACUUAAACAAAAUUAAUCCAAAUCUUACUUCCAAUUUUAAGACUUAUACUUAUCAAAUGUAGAACUAGAUUGAACAAACUAAAAUUCCCUUCAUCUUUGUUAUCAAAUGUCACUGCCCAGAGAGAAUGCUAAGCACAAAAGGAACGAGAAUCUGACAACAAAUUAAGCUCAAAUUCAUUUUAGACAUAGACCAACACAGAGGAACAUGAAUCAGAUAACCAAUCAAACUUUAAUUCAUUUGAAAUAAAGAGUGAGACAGAAGAAAUGAACCUUGAUUGAAAAAUAAAAUCGGCAAACAAGAACUGCACCCGAACCUCGAGCGGAACCUCAGACUCUAACCUCGAACAGAUUUUGGAAUUUUUGUUUUAGGCGAUGAGCGAUGAAGCUGUGUGCUGAGACCCGUUUCCUUUUGCUCUCCCCGUUGCUUUGUCCGUUCCCUCAACUCCCUCUGUUUCGUGACCUCCUCUCUUUAUGGGUGGUGUCUUCCGGUGUUAAUGGCUGAUUUACGGUGGCUUUAGGGGGUUGAAUGGGCUAUUUUUGGGGCUGGACUUUGGUGGAGGUUUGUGUUGAUUACGGUGGAGAAGAUAGGUUCUUGAAUUUUUCCGUUCCUUUUCCUUUUGUUCCCCUGUUUUUCUCUGUUUUUGUUCUGUUUGCCGUCGUGAGUGGAGUUGAAGGGUAGUGUUGAAGUUGGUGGUAAUGGGUGUUUAAUAGAGAUUAAAGUAGAGUGGGAAAUUAGGUGGCGUCCAUGGAGUUGAACUGUGGCAUCUCUCUCUUUUUUCUAAUCCCGUUCCCAAACCCUCUGCUUUUCUCUCGUCCUCUAGGCCUCUCUUUUCUCUCUUUGCUCUAUCUGUUUUUUCUCCUUUUUUGUUUUUCCCAGCCCCCUUUGUGUGUGGAAGAUCUAUAGGAAC
Molecule: long non-coding RNA, 33265 nt
Filed under: Nicotiana tabacum (common tobacco)
Lineage: Eukaryota; Viridiplantae; Streptophyta; Magnoliopsida; Solanales; Solanaceae
Description: long non-coding RNA (NTAB_LNC006417)
Source: RNAcentral